UUUCCGUAGGUGAACCUGCGGAGGGAUCAUUAUUGUAUAACCGAAGUUCGAGGACUGUCGCGGACCCGACAGCUGGUGCACGGCCGAGUGCGCUCACACACAUUCAUCUCACCCCUAGGUGCACCACCGCGUGGGUGCCCCUUUGGCUUUGUCGGUGGGGGGCGUACGUUUUGAGCAAAACUUUGUAUGCAGUGUAGAAUUUAUUUUUUGGUUUUGCGGUCUCUCAAUCAAUAGAACUUUGAACAAGGGAUGUCUUGGCACUCGCAUAUAUGAAGAAAC
RNAcentral lists this unclassified non-coding RNA (279 nucleotides) under plant metagenome. RNAcentral describes it as "partial contains small subunit ribosomal RNA, internal transcribed spacer 1, and 5.8S ribosomal RNA". The record is from RNAcentral.